RNAcentral lists this ribosomal RNA (253 nucleotides) under uncultured bacterium. RNAcentral's name for it is "partial 16S ribosomal RNA". It matches the Rfam family "Bacterial small subunit ribosomal RNA", at positions 524 to 776 of the family's 1533-position model. The record is from RNAcentral.
UACGGAGGGUGCAAGCGUUAUCCGGAUUCACUGGGUUUAAAGGGUGCGUAGGUGGGUUGGUAAGUCAGUGGUGAAAUCCCCGAGCUUAACUUGGGAACUGCCAUUGAUACUAUCAGUCUUGAAUACUGUGGAGGUCAGCGGAAUAUGUCAUGUAGCGGUGAAAUGCUUAGAUAUGACAUAGAACACCGAUUGCGAAGGCAGCUCACUACAGAGUCAUUGACGCUGAGGCACGAAAGCGUGGGGAUCAAACAGG